Molecule: RNA transcript, 6978 nt
Organism: Aethalodelphis obliquidens (Pacific white-sided dolphin)
Lineage: Eukaryota; Metazoa; Chordata; Mammalia; Artiodactyla; Delphinidae
Gene: CHST15
Gene name: carbohydrate sulfotransferase 15
Exons: 10
Source: RefSeq, a predicted model, not a curated record
CCCCCUUGGUGUGCAUACAUUUGUUCUCUACAUCUGUGUCUCUAUUUCUGCCUUGCAAAGCGCUGAAUUCUUGUCAUGUGGAAAGAGACACCCUGCCUAAAACUUUUCAUGUAAUUUCAUUAUCAAAUAGUACACCAUGAUUAGAGUCCCAGCCCUCGGAGGAAGGGAGCAGGCAAAAAUGCCUGUACCUGAUGGACAAAUGAACAGCGAGCUGCGUUCAGAGGUGGGCAGGACAGUGAGGCAAGGAAAGUGAGAGGUGGGUUGUAUAGGAGGAGAGUCUCCUUUUACUGAUGUGGAAAUUGAGGCUCGGAGCAGUGGGUCUGAGGUCACACAGCCCAGAAGUGGAAAGUCAGCCCAGGUCUCUGAUUCUCCAGCUCCUGGGCCGGCUCUGUCAUCCCACCCCGCUGGACUGGAGCCUCUUGGAAACUCCUAGAUGAAUGGACCUUCGCUGUGGUGGGGAGCUCUUGCUUCCUGUCCCUGUAUCCUGACCCUGUCCUGGUCCCCAGGCCUCAGCAGGCCCUGGAUUGCCAGGUGUCAUUUGGGAUGCAUUUGUAUGAGAGAGGAGUUUCCUUAAAUUCUAACAACAGAAACUAGUUUGAAACGUAGCUGGCCUGGCAGUGUCACCGUGUGAGCACCCUGUCACUGGGCAUCUCUUUAGCAGCACGUGAUUUAGAAGCGACACUUGCAGCCACUGGUGAGAACGGUACAUCCACCUGAAAGUCAGGAUACUCAGGUGAUGUCGACUGAGUUCCGCUGGAACUGUGUUGCUUUGCUGUGAAUCCAGAGCCCGUCUUCUCACUUAGCUAACGACGUACUGGGAGACUAACUAACGACGUACAGGGUCUUUCGUUAUUGUUCUCAAGUGCUGGGGUCUGAUUUCCUUCCUGAGACGCUCAUCCUUUAAAAGGAAGCACUGGGACGAGAUGAUUUAUGUGUAGACCCGUGUCUUCACAGCAUGAAAUGAAGCAUAGAGGUGGGAGUUGUCUACUGAGUAUCCCGUCUCCAUAUCUAGGAAGAAAAGUAAAGGUUUUUUGCGGAUUUGGGCCAAUACAGAAUAUAUAUAUUUUUUAAGUACGGGGGUUGGGGAGGAAGACAUUUGGUCAUAACAGCUGUCAUUUGCUGGGCCCCUACUGAUUCCCAGCUGGCCCUGUGCCAGCCAGGUCAGACAGGUGUCCCCCUUUGUCUCAGAGGGCAGGGAGGCUCUUGGAGAUCACAGGGAAGAAGCUUUCAGUCAUCCGGAUGUGCAGGAGCUAGGAGCACGGAAUGGCAGUGGAGGAAGGAGGGAAAUGGGGCUGGAGGGGGAGAAAAACAAUCCUGGCUCUAGAAGGGGAAGGCGGGCGUGAAUCAGCAAGUGGUAAGGGGCGGGGAGGUGGCAGGAGAAAGCAGGUUCUCAGUCUCUGCUGAUUUCGAAAAGGAUGUACAGGAAACGCGAGCAGCCUCUUUCAUCAGCAGCAGCUACAUGCAGCAUUGAUGCCUUCUUCCAGGUGCAGGCCCAGGGCCAGGUGCGUGGGAGCUGAGAGGCAGCGCUCAGAGCAGUAGGCGAGGCAGAACUUGCAAGUCGGAGUUCCACAGUGCUGCCCAGAGUGCGGCAGGAGUCUGCAUUAGCGACUCUGACAUUGGAGUGGUCUGGGGCGACUUCACUGGCCUGGCCUGAGAGCUGGGGUCCUCUACAUGACAAUACCUGCCCGGCACUUGGAGCGGCAUACAGUCCCUUGUACAGCUGCGAAAUCAUUAUUCGCAGUUGGUUUUGAACAGUGAGCUCCGUGUCUGGGCAAGACCUGUCUCCUCCGCCCGUCCUGAAGGACAUUUGGAUUGGUCAUCUUCCGAUGUUUGGCAGCCUCCUCACUCUUCCUGACGUCACAUCAAAGCAGGCAAUCUGACAUCUUAAAGGUUUUGAAGAGGAAACAUUUCAAAGGAACACAGGCUGUAAAAGAAGAAAUCUUCAUGGACUCUGUGUGGGUGGUGCGCCAGUCCAUCCUUCAUUGAGGCCAUGAGAUCUUCUAAUCCCUUGGGUGUUCCCAUGUUCUCCAGUGAGAACUCCUCCACUUCAUUUGGUGCCAUGGGAAAAACCUGAAGGACAGGAAGAAUUGCUCCCGACCUUGUGGCUUUUUCCAGGAUUGCAAUGGCUCUUACAGACCAUGACAAUUGGAGAUCAUUCGUGUUGUCUUUCGGAGUCGAACCAAAGAACACGCUUCCUCAUUCUCUGGUGUUUUAGCGCCUGAUCAUUUUUAUAUUUGUUUCUGUUGCUUGUGUCUUUCAACCAUUGUAUGUGAUCACGAGACGUCCUUGAAGUUUUCCAGCACGACUUGCAGGCAUCCGGACUCCCUGGGGACUCGCCCAUGGCUCGGCGGGCCAGCAGCCCAAGGGCAUUACGAUGAGGCACUGCAUGAACUGCUGCAUCCAGCUGUUGCCCGACGAAGCACACACACAGCAGGUCAGCUGCCGAGGAGGCCCCCAUCACAGUCGCCAGGAGUGCCCCAUGUGCAAAGGAGAAAACAAAAUUGUGUUUCGAGUGGACGGUAAGCAGAUGAACUUGCUUGCCGUUCUCGAAGUGAGGGCUGAAGGGAAUGAGAGCUGGAGUGGGUUUUUGCGCUUCAAGAAGGGGAAGCGAUGCAGCCUCGUAUUUGGAUUGAUAAUAAUGACGUUGGUGAUGGCUUCUUACAUCCUUUCUGGGGUCCACCAAGAGCUUCUGAUCUCAUCACCUUUCCAUUACGGAGCCCUCCCCAGCAAUCCCAGCUUGAUGGAUGGUGAAAAUCCGAGUGACACAAAAGAGCAUCAUCACCAACCCUCUGUAAAUAAUAUUUCGUACGUGAAGGACGAUCCAAGCAUUAAAUUAAUUAUCAGCAGCAUCACAGCCAGGAUUGAGUUCACAACCAGACAGCUCCCAGACGUGGAAGAUCUCAAGAAGCAGGAAUUGCACAUGUUUUCAGUCAUCCCGCACAAAUUCCUCCCCAACAGUAAGAGCCCCUGUUGGUACGAGGAGUUCACGGGGAGGAACACCACCGACCCCUAUCUGACCAACUCCUACGUGCUCUACUCCAAGCGCUUCCGCUCCACCUUCGACGCCCUGCGCAAGGCCUUCUGGGGCCACCUGUCCCACGCGCACGGCAAGCACUUCCGCCUCCGCUGCCUGCCGCACUUCUACAUCAUCGGGCAGCCCAAGUGCGGCACCACCGACCUCUACGACCGCCUGCGGCUGCACCCGGAAGUGAAGUUCUCCGCCAUCAAGGAGCCGCACUGGUGGACCCGGAAGCGCUUCGGAAUCGUCCGCCUGAGAGAUGGUCUGCGGGACCGCUAUCCCGUGGAAGAUUAUCUGGACCUCUUUGACCUGGCUGCACACCAGAUUCAUCAAGGACUGCAGGCCAGCUCUGCCAAGGAACAGAGCAAGAUGAAUAGAAUCAUUAUCGGGGAGGCCAGCGCCUCCACCAUGUGGGAUAACAACGCCUGGACGUUCUUCUACGACAACAGCACGGAUGGCGAGCCCCCCUUUCUGACCCAGGACUUCAUCCACGCCUUUCAGCCAGACGCGAAACUGAUCGUCAUGCUGAGGGACCCUGUGGAGAGGUUGUACUCAGACUAUCUCUACUUUGCAAGUUCGAAUAAAUCUGCAGAUGACUUCCAUGAGAAAGUGACAGAAGCGCUGCAGCUGUUUGAAACUUGCGUGCUGGGUUAUUCACUGCGCGCCUGUGUCUACAACAACACUCUUAACAACGCCAUGCCUGUGAGGCUGCAGGUCGGGCUGUACGCCGUGUACCUUCUGGACUGGCUCACGGUCUUUAAUAAAGAACAGUUCCUCAUUCUCCGCCUGGAAGACCACGCCUCUAACGUCAAGCACACCAUGCACAGGGUCUUCCAGUUUCUCAGCCUCGGGCCCUUAAGUGAGAAACAAGAGGCCUUGAUGACCAAGAGCCCCGCAUCCAAUGCGCGGCGUCCCGAGGACCGGAACCUGGGGCCCAUGUGGCCGGUCACACAGAGGCUCCUGCGGGACUUCUACGGGCCUUUUAAUGCCCGGCUGGCGCAGGUCCUCGCCGACGAGGCCUUCCUGUGGAAGAAGACGUGACGCCGGGUUCCCGCUGCCACCAUGAUUUCCAUGCUUUGAAAAUCUCUCUUGGUGGGGAACCCUUUUGCUCAGAGCCUGGAGAAAACCCUUCCCCGGCCCACGUUUAUGGAAACCAGUUCAGAAUUUCCUUUGUGAUGUUAAACAGCCCGGCGAUGGACCCUUCACUGAGCCUCGGAUGGAGGCUGUUGGAAAUUCCACUUGGGAAAGGGUCCCCUUCUGCUCCGAGAGUGGCUGGGGUCCGGGAUGAGGCCGGCGGACGCUGGGCUGGGUGCCGGGAGGGAAGCGUGGAGUCUGGGCUUUGACAGUUCUGGGUGGAGGUCCCGCCCCGGGGCUGGCCAGACGUACAGUAUACAUUCAGCUUCGAAACCCUCUGUCUGGAUCACUAACCUCAUUUUGGCGGAGAAUGGCGGCUCUCAUUUUUUUUUCCCUUUUACCCCAACGUCAGCCCUUCCGUCUCUUCAGAUUUCAACCCUGUUAACUUCACUGUUGACGAGAAAAAAGACAAAAGUCGAUUUUUGGUAGCACAUUUGUGUCUGGGACCCCCUCCCCUUCUGGCCUUGUGGACUUCACUUAUGUUUAACAGAAAACGAACGCAUUUAAAACAAACCACUUUCUACGUUUCACUGGCUGGAGUUUUCUUUUCUGGCCCUUUAGAUGUUUUCUCAAGGUUUUUUUCAGUUUCUAAUUGGAAUAUAACUUCAGUUUAAAAUCGGAAGGGAAAGUUUUGCUGUUAAUGCCAGACUGAGCACCUCGAAGGAACUGAUGGAAAAUCUGGGCAUCUUGGCCGUCGCCGUGCAUCUGAGGUCCUCAGAGAACCGCAGCCGUUUGAGGUUUUAGUUGCAGGUGCGACAGGCUCCGCUGCUCUGCCUUUCCUCCCAAGUGAACUUGUUAGCACAUUCUCCACCGUGUGUGGACAGAGGUCCUUCCUCACUCAACGAACUGUAGGAUGCUUUUUUCUGAUUCGGAAGCACAGCACGUGAGCUAUGCCUGGGCCAGGCAUGCUGUGCUGGGAUUUGGAACGAGAAUGCCGGGAGCUGUGUCCUUAACAGAACUUCCUGGGCCACUUGGCAUCCUGGUUUACUGUUGGAUGGGCUGAAGGUCUUGCUGUUACUUGGAGGUGAUGGGAAAGAUUGAACACAGUCCUUGCGCACAGCCCCAGGUGGGACCCCAACCAAGCCUUGCACGUGGUCGUCAAGGGAAGCUUCUGCGAAUCAGAGCUCCCCAAGUCGAGGUCCCGGAUGCACACCAGUCAGAGAAUGCAAAUGCCCGCACUCCCAGCCGCCAGUCGUGGGAGUGAGGAUUUGCUGAGCUGUCCAGCCCUAGUGCCGUUGGAGAUGGGAUGCUCAGCCCACUUGAAGGCGUGUGGAGGGCUCUGAAUGGCACGGCCGGGCUGUUUCUGCUGUGAAGGAGCCAUGGGCCUGAACACCCACUUUCAGGGACAGGCCCCCAUUUCUCUCCCGGUGGCCCUCGGAGCAGCAGCCAGCAGGCAAACCUGGCCUGAGCACAAGGAACCUCCCUUCCAGACCUCCUAGGAGGAGCAGAGAGAGGGAUGUUCAACAGCUGAACUUGAACUUGAACUUGAACGGGGAACGUGUGCUCCUGAACCGAGCAUGUCAACUUCACCGAGAGCAUCAGGCAAGGGGCUGGAAACAAAGGCAGCGACCGUCCUCGUGGAAGAUGACCAGGCCUGGUGCACUCAGGAGAAGCGCUGAGAGCUUGCCAAAAACCCAGGCAGAAGGCACAGGGCCUCCUUCGUCCUUCUGUCUGCAGUAACCUUGAACUUCAAGGAGCUGAACGGGCCUGGUGCCAGGAGCUAAAUUGGAGCAACCGCUGGCCCCAAAUUAGGAAUUUAUAAGCGGCUCUGGGCUUAUAAGCAUCAAAAGCAUAUUCUUGCCCCAGUAGAGUUCGCCGGGAUCCAGAAAGAGUCGCACAAAGAGAGACCAAGAGAAACAAAAUCUCUGGAGAGUUACAUUUGGGGUGGCUGGAGGCUAGGUCGGCCCUCGGGUGACCUACGUGUCCCGGUUUCCCAGGACUUUCUUGAGUUCAGCACUGAAAGUCCUGCAUUCUGGAAACCCGCUUGGUCCGGUCACCCGGUUGGCCUGGUGGCUGGAAUUGCAGGACAGUGGAGAGCCAUGGACUCCUGUUCUGUCCCUCUGCUGGGUCCUGCUCACCUGGCUGGCUGUGGGCUGGGGCUCGAGGGGCAAGGCCUCCCAGCAGCCCCCAUGGCUGGGGGCACCUGCAGCGUUUGGGGGACAAGCCUCGUCCCUGAAGAGCACGGGGAGAGAGUCCCUCUUCUCGUUGCUGCCACUUCCCGUCCGACACCUGGAAGGAAAUCUGUGUGGCCUGAGUGUAUGCGGAGGGGCAAGGACUUGAUGGAAAGCUUUCCAUAAACACAGACCAGCAGGGCAAAGGGCGGGGUUCUCAGACAAGGCAGGCACCUCCCUGGUUGCAGCUGAUGGUGGUACAUGCACAUCCCUUGGUGCCCAGCAUCUUCAGGCCCCUGUCCUCACCACUGUGUCUCCAGUGUGAGGCAAGGCGGGGAGGCCUGGGGGGACGGUGGCACAGAAGACCCCCUCCCCUUCUGCCCCGAGCCUGCUUCCUAGGCUGGGAAUUAGAGGACAUUUAUUUAAAUAUUUUAAAAUAGCACCCAAACAGUUUGACCGUCCUUGCCAGGAGAAAAGAUGAAGCAGCACCCCGUGCGCCGAGCUGGCCCCCUCUCCGCAGAGAACAGACCUCAGGGGCCUGGGAAGCGGUCUGCGAGGAGCGAGCUGGCGGCCAAGCUUCCUGCCCUGAGCCCGGAGCCCUGAGCACUGUGGUAUUCCCUCGUCAGGGGUUUGCAGUGACAAUGGGAUGCUGAAAUUCAGAACAUCCUUACCACCCCUCACUCCCAAAAUAUAUUUAUAUACGUUUGCACUGUU